Molecule: ribosomal RNA, 231 nt
Filed under: uncultured bacterium
Lineage: Bacteria
Description: partial 16S ribosomal RNA
Rfam family: Bacterial small subunit ribosomal RNA
Source: RNAcentral
GACGAACGCUGGCGGCGUGCUUAACACAUGCAAGUCGAGCGGUAAGGCCCUUUCGGGGGUACACGAGCGGCGAACGGGUGAGUAACACGUGGGUGACCUGCCCUCAGCUCUGGGAUAAGCCUGGGAAACCGGGUCUAAUACUGGAUAUGACUCCAUGACGCAUGUUGUGGGGUGGAAAGCCUUGUGCGGCUGAGGAUGGGCCCGCGGCCUAUCAGCUUGUUGGUGGGGNGA